Long non-coding RNA from Vidua chalybeata, 654 nucleotides. RefSeq lists it as uncharacterized. The record is from RefSeq and is a predicted model, not a curated record. The transcript is spliced from 2 exons. Lineage: Eukaryota; Metazoa; Chordata; Aves; Passeriformes; Viduidae.
UAGUGAAUGUCAGGCUUUGUAGUGUUGGUUGUGGAAACUUUGCCUAGCAUAUGGGAAGGGACAUCUAGAGAAAGAUCUGGGGAAGACCCUUGGGACUUCAGGGCACCCAGUAAAGCAGUCAGUUUCCAAGCAAAAGCCAGGCUAAAGGACAGAGUGAAAAAAACAGCCAGCCCUCUGCCUGUGCUGUUCAGACACCAGCCAUAAAGCAGGAAAAGGGUUUUCCAUUCCUCCAUCCCAUGGCAGUCUGUCCCAAGAGUACACUUAUGAGCAUCUACUGAGACAUGACUUCGUAUAUCCACAGUAACUCAGGAGCAGAAGUUCUGUCAAUUAGCACAGACAUUCUGUCUUGCUGUCCCAUAAGUAAAGCCUUUUACCUCUACAUAGCUGCCAUCUUUUGGUGUUGCUGGCUCCUUCCAGGAAUGUGUUUUCUGUUCUGCUCCACAUCCCAUAGCACAUUCCUCUGGUGCAGCAGUCUGCUAUGUUUUGCACAUAGAAAUGGGAUCCAGUGGCCUGGUGCAAACCAAAUCAUUCCCCUGAUUUCUCUUGCCAGGUCCUGUUUAUCCACCAGUGUUUGUUAGCUAGACCUUACUAUGUUCCAAGCGCUGUCAGCAGCUGGCAGGAAACACUGGCAAUAAAAGCAAUCCCCACAGCUCA